This 497-nucleotide ribosomal RNA is filed under the name uncultured bacterium. RNAcentral describes it as "partial 16S ribosomal RNA". It matches the Rfam family "Bacterial small subunit ribosomal RNA", at positions 28 to 507 of the family's 1533-position model. The record is from RNAcentral.
GAUGAACGCUGGCGGCGUGCCUAAUACAUGCAAGUCGAGCGAACGGACGAGAAGCUUGCUUCUCUGAUGUUAGCGGCGGACGGGUGAGUAACACGUGGAUAACCUACCUAUAAGACUGGGAUAACUUCGGGAAACCGGAGCUAAUACCGGAUGAUAUUUUGAACCGCAUGGUUCAAAAGUGAAAGACGGUCUUGCUGUCACUUAUAGAUGGAUCCGCGCUGCAUUAGCUAGUUGGUAAGGUAACGGCUUACCAAGGCAACGAUGCAUAGCCGACCUGAGAGGGUGAUCGGCCACACUGUAACUGAGACACGUUCCAGACUCCUACGGUAGGCAGCAGUAGGGAAUCUUCCGCAAUGGGCGAAUGCCUGACGUAGCAACGCCGCGUGAGUGAUGAAGGUCUUCGGAUCGUAAAACUCUGUUAUUAGGGAAGAACAUAUGUGUAAGUAACUGUGCACAUCUUGACGGUACCUAAUCAGAAAGCCACGGCUAACUACGUG